This 150-nucleotide ribosomal RNA is filed under the name uncultured archaeon. RNAcentral describes it as "partial 16S ribosomal RNA". It matches the Rfam family "Archaeal small subunit ribosomal RNA", at positions 325 to 474 of the family's 1478-position model. The record is from RNAcentral.
ACGGGGGCGCAGCAGGCGCGAAAACUUCACACUGCAGGAAACUGUGAUGAGGGAACUCCAAGUGCAUGCACAAUGUGCAUUGCUUUUCUUGAAUCUUAAUAGUUCUUGGAAUAAGGGCUGGGAAAGACCGGUGCCAGCAGCCGCGGUAAU